ACCUCUGCUUGCCACACCGCUGCAUUACCUCCUCCACGCCCUCUCCCUUCUGGAUCUCUCUCCUCGCUAAGGCUCGCGACUCUCACAGCACGCGAGUAGCCGCCAUCGAGCUGGCGAUGGUGCAGACGAUGGCCGCACGGCAAAGGGAGCGGAGGUGCCACUGGCACGGGGCCACUCGCCGGCCUGCGCACGCAGAUGAGGCUGCACGUGCCUCUUCACGGCGGCGGUGGCCACCUCAAGCGGUCACGACAGCGACAAGAUUCCUCAUCUGUGGCGAGCCCCUGAUGCGGCGACGGCGGUGGCGUGACUUCCUCAUGCGCGGCAUGCCCCUGAUGCGGCAUCGGCGGAGCGGCUCCCUGAUUCGUUGCGGUGGCGCAGCGGAACCGGCGCGCGGGCUGCUGAAUCCUGAUCUGUGACAGUAGCAGCAGUUCGGCCACUCAGCACACCUGAAGGCAACGACGACGCCGGCCAAGGUAAAAUUAUCCGCGGUGCCCAGCUUAGUGGAGAUUUAGGGUUCGUUGGCAAAAAUUCGUGAACUAAGGUAUGCAAAAUUACAAAUCCGCUUGCUAUGCUCUACUCAAUCGAAUGCACUAGGGUUUAUGCAAAUUCUGAGAUAAAUAAACAUUGUGUGUUAUCCAACGCAAGGUAUGCAAAAUUGCAAAUCCUAGCCUGCCCUGCUCUGUCAAUCGAAUGUACUAGGGUUUAUGCAAAUUCUGAGAUAAAUAAACAUUGUUUUCUGUAGAUAGUUAUAUAGGAAUUGUAUACAUAUAUAUACAUUUAUUUUUCUUAUUUGCACAAAUGAAUUAGACAGAAUGUACCAGGGUUUAUACAAUUUCUAAGAUAAAUACACAUUGUUUCCAUUGGUGUAGGAGAGUUAUUUAGGGAUGGUACAAUAACUUGUACACAUCUGUAUAUACCAAACCUUUUCUUAUCUGCACAAAUGAAUUAGAAAUAAUAAACUAAGUAAAUAAACAUUUUUUUGCAUUGGUGGAGGGUUAUCUAGGAAUUGUACAGUAACUUGUAUAGAUCAGUUUUUUUGCCAAUUGUCUAAACCAAACUUUUGUUAUCCGCGCAAAUUUAGAAGAGCGCAGUUUGUUUGGAGUUUUUACCUGUUUUAUUGGUACAAGCUUGCUGUUGAUUCAAUUGGAAUCAGGGGGAGCCUUGAAGAAAGCUAAAAUGAAAAAAUGUAAUUGCAAAUAGGAGAUGAGGAUUCAUAUUUGAUUUUCCUGGAAAUGAUGGUUUUGCUGAUAUUUGACGUUGUAAACAGAAAUUGCUUAAAUGAGUUGUCCUAGAGGUAGUGAAAAGGAUGAGUUAUACCCAGCAGCAGAUAUAGUGCCUCAGGAUAUUCAUUAGCUUGCACGAGGUAAAGCAAUAUACCGAUAUAUCGAUUCAGUGCCAUAUAGAAUGUAUAGCUUUUGACAAGUCUAUCUAACAUGUGCCUGAGUUUACGAGAUCCACAAGCUUAUGGAUUAUCUUGUGAUAACCACAUCCUCUCGAUAUUUAAUUAAAUUGGAUAUUUUUACGCUUUUGAGAAAUACCUUGGCCUCAUUGAACUUAAAAUGCAGUGAUAGUGGGUGGACAAGUAGCUGAGGUGCAUGAUCCUCUUAUAGUAGCUGAGCCAUUGCUUCUAUAGUGGUCAUGCUCUUGUCUUUGUUUUCAAUGAUAGGAUUCAUGCACAGUUUUAUAUCUUAGAUUAGAUGUCUGCACGCUGGUCUUUGACAAUGAUACAUGUCUUCUUAGAUUAGCUGACCCAUUGCUUCUAUAGUGUUGCAGUCAUUAAGGACAUGUAGUGGAUGAGAACGUCUAGGUAAUACUUAGAGAGUGCUCAUGAUUUUUCCUAGUCAAGUCUAAAUCUGUAGCAAGAUGAAUUUUGAUAGUUGCAUCUUAAGUGGCCUGUCGAGCAUGAUUAAGGCCUUGAUUGUGCUGGUUGAUGUGCUACCUGUACGACCAAUUGGCGAAGAGCUGUGAUUCACAAACACACUAUGCAAGCGAUUAGCGAUUGGGGUUUCCUUCUGAUUGGUUGUAGUGAUUUGUUCUCUUCAGGUGCGGUGGUCCAUAUACAUGUUGGAUCCAAUUGGAUUGUUUUCUGCACGUCUACAAUUAUCAGCUGGUUGAUAUCACGAAAGACAGGAGGCAAGAUUGCUUCCAAUGAGCACACAUUGCCCAUGGGGGUUCAUUGGAGUUCCCAAAGUUUGUUGCUCUUCAUCAGUGAAGCUAGGAUCAUGCUGUUCUGCUGAUCAGUAAGCUAUAUCUUGAAGUUCAGUUUGGUUUUCAUUUCUAGUUUUUGAAGUCAUUUAUGAAAUUUAGUGUAAUCUCUCUAAUGGUAAAACAUUAGCACACUACUUAGUACACCUUCACACAUUGGGACAUGUCUGAUUUCAAGUAGGAGCAACUGCCAAGUGAUGACAAUAGGAAGGCUGGUAGUGACUCAACACAUAUAGUCAGCUGAACUUUUACACACAUUUAUAUGGCUGUGAUGUGAACAUGUCAGUCUUGUAUCUCUCUUAAAGGGAGCAAGAAGCCUCAUUCAGGAGUGAGGACCUAAACAUCAAGGCUGAGGAGCAUUAUUUGGAGAUGGAUAGUUGAUUAUUUUUCCACCUUAUGAUUGUAUCUGAUUACAAAUAUAAUAUGUAUGUCUGCAAGAUUUAAAUGUUUGGAUGUAAUCUUUACUAUAAUUGAAAUCUUCUCCAAGCAAAUCCCACCUACAAGAUCAACGACUCACAGCAUAUGUCAUACAGAUUAGACGGUCCAGAUUAGAAGUAUGAUGACGACCUUACAUCUCUACUCUCCGCCCUACUCUCCGUCCUCAGCCUCAACCAAGGACAAGCACCGGCCAGCAGCGGAGCCGUGCCGCUCGAGCACGAGGUCGACGACAAGCAAGUCCACGAGCACGUCAGUGAGGGGGUCAUGCGCUUGUCCUCCGGCAGCGGCGGCUCCGGCGGAGGGGGUUCUCGUUCCAGCAGCAGCGGAUCAAGUGGCGGUUCUGGUUCUCGUUCCGACAGUGGAUCAUCAAGCGGCGGUGGCGGUUCUCGUUCCGGCGGCAGCGGGUCAAAGGGCGGCGGUUCCCGUUCCGGCGGUGGAUCAAGAGGCGGUGGCUCUCGUUCCGGCAGCGGGUCAAAGGGCGGCGGUUCCCGUUCCGGCGGUGGAUCAAGAGGCGGCGGCUCGAGAGGCACCACGAACUAUGAUGAUGAUGAUGAUAGCGUGCUUGACGUGCUCGAUUACGACGAUUCGUCUGCCGGUGCCCGCGGCGGCGCUUGGAAGACUGGAGUCGCUGCCACGUUUCUUGCCGUCGCCUCGCUCUUGUACAUCUAGACAC
This is a long non-coding RNA of Sorghum bicolor (sorghum), 3316 nucleotides long. RefSeq lists it as uncharacterized. NCBI's taxonomy places the organism in Eukaryota, Viridiplantae, Streptophyta, Magnoliopsida, Poales, Poaceae. The record is from RefSeq and is a predicted model, not a curated record. The transcript is spliced from 3 exons.